GACUACUGGUAGUCACUUAUGAGAGUUAAUGCUUUGUUGCAUUGUUGAUUGGCCCUUGGCUGUUACACAUUCUGAUCAUUUAGAGAAGAAGCUGCCAAACGUAAAGGAAAGGGAUGGAACCAAAAUGGGAAACUCUCUUUACAAACAUCAAAUUCAUAUCCACUUAGGUCUUUGUCAUGUCUGUAAGCUUAAAAAUGAUAGUAUGCACUAUGCAAUUGGCAAUUGUUAAUAUCGUACCUUUUCUGCGUAACAAUGGACAAUUUGACCUGAUGUUCUGCAAGCAGUAAGACCUUGAGGAGAUGAAACAGAAGCAAUUAUUGAAUGAGUCUCAGCAAGACACCAAGAAACAACAUUUGCAGUGUGAGUCUCACAUUGGAUGAGAUAUGGUCUGAAAACGAGUUCAUAAGUUUGAGACAUCUCUCACCUUACAAGCUGGUUUUAGAGUUGAGUUAGGCCAAGCCCAAAUUGAAGAUAGUGAACCCAUAAGGGAAAAAGAUGCAACUAUUGCAGUGAACCUAGAAGGACAAGUAGUUUCUACAUCUGCACCUAUGCCAAAGCUGAACGACUCAGUCGAAUGUUUAAACAAUGUAGCUGCUUCUAAAUGUGCUUUUGGGUUAACUGUAAUAGCUGUGCUUCUGGUUUCACUUCAUGCUGACCUCCUAGUGGAUCAUUUCUAAUACCAAUUAUUACAAAAAGGAACAAUGGUUAUGAUUGUAAGCAAUUAUUAUUUACUUUACCUUUAAUAUUUACAAAAUAGCUACUUAGAAUUAUUUCUAAUUUACCUAUUUUUUAAUUCACUUCAAAUCUAGUACAUGGCAUUUGUGGCGAUCAUGCAACAGCUUUGACUGUGAGCUGGGGCAGAGCAUGUUACAUCAGAUAGCAAACCUCGUAAUAUCAAGGUUUUAUUUUGAGUUUUGCCUAUUCAAAUUAACCUUGUCUAUUAAACGUUUGGACGUCAUUAAUCAAUUUCCAGUGGAUACAUAAAAUUGUAGUAGCCAACUCUAAAGAUGGAUGUCUGUAAAAAUUUGGGCAACAUCUGAAAUUGAAAUGCAGUGUUUUGACAAAAUAAC
This 1070-nucleotide long non-coding RNA is filed under the name Medicago truncatula (barrel medic). Its description in RNAcentral is "long non-coding RNA (MTRU_LNC008246)". Lineage: Eukaryota; Viridiplantae; Streptophyta; Magnoliopsida; Fabales; Fabaceae. The record is from RNAcentral.